UACGAAGGGGGGCUAGCGUUGCUCGGAAUCACUGGGCGUAAAGGGUGCGUAGGCGGGUCUUUUAAGUCAGGGGUGAAAUCCUGGAGCUCAACUCCAGAACUGCCUUUGAUACUGAAGAUCUUGAGUUCGGGAGAGGUGAGUGGAACUGCGAGUGUAGAGGUGAAAUUCGUAGAUAUUCGCAAGAACACCAGUGGCGAAGGCGGCUCACUGGCCCGAUACUGACGCUGAGGCACGAAAGCAUGGGGAGCAAACAGG
Molecule: ribosomal RNA, 255 nt
Filed under: uncultured bacterium
Lineage: Bacteria
Description: partial 16S ribosomal RNA
Rfam family: Bacterial small subunit ribosomal RNA
Source: RNAcentral